UUGGAGGGCAAGUCUGGUGCCACGCAGCCGCGGUAAUUCCAGCUCCAAUAGCGUAUAUUAAAGUUGUUGCAGUUAAAAAGCUCGUAGUUGAAUUUCGGGAUUGACGUAAUGGUCAUGCCUUAAGGGGUAUGAACUGUUACUGUUGAUUUCUCACCUUCUGGAGAAACUUGAUGUCCUUUAUUGGGUGUCUUGCGGAUCCAGGACCUUUACCUUGAAAAAACUUAGAGUGUUUAAAGCAGGCAUUUUUGCUCGAAUACAUUAGCAUGGAAUAAUAG
This 275-nucleotide ribosomal RNA is filed under the name uncultured Glomus. Its description in RNAcentral is "partial 18S ribosomal RNA". It matches the Rfam family "Eukaryotic small subunit ribosomal RNA", at positions 548 to 820 of the family's 1831-position model. Lineage: Eukaryota; Fungi; Glomeromycota; Glomeromycetes; Glomerales; Glomeraceae. The record is from RNAcentral.